AAGUCGUAACAAGGUUUCCGUAGGUGAACCUGCGGAAGGAUCAUUCAUAAUAAGUGUUUUAUGGCACUUUUUAAAUCCAUAUCCACCUUGUGUGCAAUGUCAGUCGAUCUUCUUCAUGGAGAUCGACCAAACAUCAACCUUAUCUUUUAACUCUUUGUCUGAAAAAUAUUAUGAAUAAACAAUUCAAAAUACAACUUUCAACAACGGAUCUCUUGGCUCUCGCAUCGAUGAAGAACGCAGCGAAAUGCGAUACGUAAUGUGAAUUGCAGAAUUCAGUGAACCAUCGAAUCUUUGAACGCACAUUGCGCCCGCCAGUAUUCUGGCGGGCAUGCCUGUUCGAGCGUCAUUUCAACCCUCAAGCCCCCGGGCUUGGUGUUGGGGAUCGGCACAAGGCGCUGGCACCUCCGGGAGCCGCGCCCGCCGUCCCCCAAAUUCAGUGGCGGUUCACGCCGUGUGUACCUCAGCGUAGUAGCAACACCUCGCUCCGGGACCCUCCUGUGAACCACGCCGUAAAACCCCCGACUUUCUUCUGGUUGACCUCGAAUCAGGUAGGACUACCCGCUGAACUUAA
RNAcentral lists this ribosomal RNA (571 nucleotides) under uncultured fungus. RNAcentral describes it as "eukaryotic LSU rRNA". The stretch from base 193 to 346 matches the Rfam family "5.8S ribosomal RNA". The record is from RNAcentral. Lineage: Eukaryota; Fungi.